GUGUUCGGUGAAGUCGGUGUUGUGUUGGUGCCGACAGUGAAGGUGUUGUUACCGACACUGAUGUAGUGCUCGGUGUGGUGUUGGUGCCGACAGUGAAGGCGUUGUUAUAAACACUGAUGUGGUGUUCGGUGAAGUCGGU
Molecule: long non-coding RNA, 139 nt
Organism: Haliotis rubra (blacklip abalone)
Lineage: Eukaryota; Metazoa; Mollusca; Gastropoda; Lepetellida; Haliotidae
Exons: 3
Source: RefSeq, a predicted model, not a curated record